GAUGAACGCUGGCGGCGUGCCUAAUACAUGCAAGUCGAGCGAACAGACGAUGAGCUUGCUCCUCGGACGUUAGCGGCGGGCGGGUGAGUCACACGUGUAUCACCUACCUAUCUGUCUGGUAUAACUUCGGGAAACCGGAUCUAAUACCGGAUAAUCUCUUGAACCGCAUGGUUCGAUAGUAAAUGUCGGUUUUGGUGUCUGUUAUAGAGGGAUCCGCGCGGCAUGAGCUAGUUGGUAAGGUAACGGCUUAGCAAGGCAACGAGGCGUAGCCGAACUGAGAGGGUGAUCGGCCACACGAGAGCUGAGACGCGGUCCAGGCUACUACGGGAGGCAGCAGUAGGGAAUCUGACGCAGUAGGCGAAAGCAUGGCGGAGCAGCGCCGAGUGAGUGAUGAAGGUCUUCGGAGCGUAAAACCCUGUUAUUAGGGGAGAACAAAUUUGGAAGUAACUAUGCACGUAUUGACGGUAACGAAUAAGAAAGCAACGGCUAACUACGUG
Molecule: ribosomal RNA, 497 nt
Filed under: uncultured bacterium
Lineage: Bacteria
Description: partial 16S ribosomal RNA
Rfam family: Bacterial small subunit ribosomal RNA
Source: RNAcentral